RNAcentral lists this transfer RNA (71 nucleotides) under Ovis aries (sheep). It matches the Rfam family "tRNA". Rfam says of the family: Transfer RNA (tRNA) molecules are approximately 80 nucleotides in length. Their secondary structure includes four short double-helical elements and three loops (D, anti-codon, and T loops). Further hydrogen bonds mediate the characteristic L-shaped molecular structure. tRNAs have two regions of fundamental functional importance: the anti-codon, which is responsible for specific mRNA codon recognition, and the 3' end, to which the tRNAs corresponding amino acid is attached (by aminoacyl-tRNA synthetases). tRNAs cope with the degeneracy of the genetic code in two manners: having more than one tRNA (with a specific anti-codon) for a particular amino acid; and 'wobble' base-pairing, i.e. permitting non-standard base-pairing at the 3rd anti-codon position. The record is from Rfam by way of RNAcentral. Lineage: Eukaryota; Metazoa; Chordata; Mammalia; Artiodactyla; Bovidae.
UUCCUGGUGGCUCAGCAGUAGAGAAUCUGCCUGCAAUGCGGGAGACCCAGGUUCGAUCCCUGGGUGGGGAA